Molecule: transfer RNA, 74 nt
Filed under: Nitrospirota bacterium
Lineage: Bacteria; Pseudomonadati; Nitrospirota
Description: Nitrospirae bacterium (sediment metagenome) tRNA-Arg
Rfam family: tRNA
About the family: Transfer RNA (tRNA) molecules are approximately 80 nucleotides in length. Their secondary structure includes four short double-helical elements and three loops (D, anti-codon, and T loops). Further hydrogen bonds mediate the characteristic L-shaped molecular structure. tRNAs have two regions of fundamental functional importance: the anti-codon, which is responsible for specific mRNA codon recognition, and the 3' end, to which the tRNAs corresponding amino acid is attached (by aminoacyl-tRNA synthetases). tRNAs cope with the degeneracy of the genetic code in two manners: having more than one tRNA (with a specific anti-codon) for a particular amino acid; and 'wobble' base-pairing, i.e. permitting non-standard base-pairing at the 3rd anti-codon position.
Source: RNAcentral
GCGCCUGUAGCUCAGCAGGAUAGAGCAACUGCCUUCUAAGCAGUAGGUUGGGGGUUCGAGUCCCUCCAGGCGUA